Nicotiana tabacum (common tobacco) is the source of this 1452-nucleotide non-coding RNA. The record is from RefSeq and is a predicted model, not a curated record. Lineage: Eukaryota; Viridiplantae; Streptophyta; Magnoliopsida; Solanales; Solanaceae.
AAAUUAAGAAAAGGCGACCAUCUCUUGACUCCUGAGUAAAAGGGACUGUUAGUAGAAAAGGACCAAUUGGAAGGUAAAUAAGCAUAGAAAGAUGGAUCCUCCUCCUCAUACGCAGACAACAGAAGUGCCGACUAGUUGGCGAGGUGCUAAAUUUGUUUGGCGUGCUGUUCUCAUCUUCAAUCUCGGCCUCGGAGCCUACCUCUUUACAAGGCCCGCUAAGAAGGAAAGAAAGUCCAACAUUUCACCACCUGUUAUUCCAGCUGAGACUACUACUCCCACUCCGCCUGCUCCUCAAAAUUUUGAACCCAUCUUUACUCCUAUUCCAGAACCUGUGAAGGUACCAGAGCCCCUUUCUGUAGAUCAGCAGCGCAGUGUUUUUGAAUGGAUGCUAGAAGAGAAGAGGAAGGUCAAACCUCAAAAUCGAGAAGAAAAGAAGAGAAUCAAUGAAGAAAAAGCUUUACUGAAACAGUUCAUACGAGCAGAUUCCAUUCCGAAGAUCUGAUGGCCUGCUAAGAAAGUAAAGGAAAACUACCACUGAACUACGCAUUCUCCAACUAAGACUACUACUUCCACUCUGCCUCUUUCUGUGGAGCAGCAGCGCAGUAUUUUUGAAUGGAUGCUAGAAGAAAAGUGGAAGACCAAACCUCAAGACCAAGAAGAAAAAAAAGAAAGUCACUAAAGAAAAAUCUCUACUGAAGUGGAGUAGUUCAUAUGAGCAGAUUCCAUCCAGAAGAUCUGAUACAAACCUGGCUGUUCAUUUAGUCCCAUUUCUCAUCAUCUGAGCUUUGUUUUACUGUUGUGUGGAGACUUGGUAUGGAUAGGAUUUUGGUGAGGAUAUCAGCAAUUUGAUCCCUUGAACCGAUAUACAGAGCCCCCUGAGUUCUUAGAUGCAACCUUUUCACUGAAAAAGUGAAUUAAGCUCGAUGUUUUUUGUGAGCACAAAACAUUGGAUUGCCUAUGAAAUAGGUUGCUGACAAAUUAUCACUCCACAAUUUCGGGGCAUUAGAAAAUGCAACAUGCAGCUCCUUAAGAAGAUUUUUGAUCCAUGUAAUCUCCACUUGGCAGCAGGUAAAUUAACGCUUGAUAUUUUGACUCAGUACUCGAUCUAGCAACUUUAUGUUGGCUUUUUGGAACUCCAGAACACUAGCUUUGGUCCAAAAAAAAUAUACAUAUAACUAUGAGUAGACCUGUGAUAUCUGAAGAGCUUGCCUAAUCUGUAUAAGAAGUCCCAAUGAUGGACAGACUUGAGUAAGGUCAUUAGCGAGCCAAAGAAUACAUGUAACAGUAACACAGCUCUCCUCAUUUUGGCUUUUUCUGCGUUUGCCAUGCAUGGGACAUGCCAUAUAUACUUGUUAACAAGUACUAACAACUAUUUGAGCUUUCCCCUUUUAGUUUGUAUCCGUUACUCUUUUUAUGCUCUAUCAGAAACAAUCUCUCUACCUUAAAGUCUGC